GUGCUUGCUUUGGCAGCAUAUAUUCUAAAAUUGGAACAAUACAAAGAUCAGCGAGACCCCCUACCCAAGGAUGACACAAAAUUCAUGAAGCCCAGGAGAAUUUU
Small nuclear RNA from Sarcophilus harrisii (Tasmanian devil), 104 nucleotides. The record is from Ensembl. Lineage: Eukaryota; Metazoa; Chordata; Mammalia; Dasyuromorphia; Dasyuridae.